GGGCCCGCACAAGCGGUGGAGCAUGUGGUUUAAUUCGAUGCAACGCGAAGAACCUUACCAGGGCUUGACAUGUGGAGUUUGGUUAUCAGAGAUGAUUUCCUUCAGUUUGGCUGGCUCCAACACAGGUGCUGCAUGGCUGUCGUCAGCUCGUGUCGUGAGAUGUUGGGUUAAGUCCCGCAACGAGCGCAACCCUCAUCUUUAGUUGCCAUCAGUUCGGCUGGGCACUCUAGAGAAACUGCCUGGGAUGACCAGGAGGAAGGCGAGGAUGACGUCAAGUCCUCAUGGCCCUUAUGGGCUGGGCUACACACGUGCUACAAUGGCGGUGACAAAGGGACGCAAUAGGGCAACCUGGAGCAAAUCCCUAAAAGCCGUCUCAGUUCGGAUUGUUCUCUGCAACUCGAGAGCAUG
This 408-nucleotide ribosomal RNA is filed under the name uncultured bacterium. RNAcentral's name for it is "bacterial SSU rRNA". It matches the Rfam family "Bacterial small subunit ribosomal RNA", at positions 917 to 1322 of the family's 1533-position model. The record is from RNAcentral.